Helianthus annuus (common sunflower) is the source of this 758-nucleotide long non-coding RNA. RefSeq lists it as uncharacterized. The transcript is spliced from 4 exons. Lineage: Eukaryota; Viridiplantae; Streptophyta; Magnoliopsida; Asterales; Asteraceae. The record is from RefSeq and is a predicted model, not a curated record.
ACAUGAAAUUUUUUGAUGAAACUAAUUGGGUUUUUUCUUAUGUUUUAAUGAAAAUAGUGAACCAAAGUUGUGGUUUGUUCUCAUUACUUUGUGACCUGGUGUUUUUAAAUAGAAUGCCCAUUAUUUGUUUUGAUAGGAUGCCCAUUAUAAGUGCAAGUAAUGAAGUAAAUGAUGAUUAAUUUUGAACUUGAAAGAAAAAUAUAAUCCAAACAACUCUAUAUUUUCAUGUAUGGAUUAACUAAUUUGGGUUGGAUUUGGCAGAUUUAUAAUGUUCUAUCUGAUGCUAGGAAAGCCGGUGGUACGUGGUUGCCUUCUUGAGCAGUAGUCUCAUUGGUUGGCGGUGAUGGGCGUGUGAGUGAAGAAAUUGGGACGAAUAGUAAUAACCAUUCAGAAUGCCAGCGUAUUAAGUACAAGUCUGAAUCCAGAAUUUUGUUGGUUGGUUCUGGAGCAGAUGAGCAAUCUGCUGGUUACGGCCCCCAUAAAACUAAUUACAAACAAAGCAGGUCAAGAUGGUUCAGCUGGGUUGAUCCAAAAUUCUUUUGUCCAAAACUGAUGGUUCCGAGUUAGGUCUGGGACAGGACAAGUAGUAACAUGUAUAGAGGAAAUGAGUUCUUGGAGGACUUGGGCAGUUUGGAACCAAGAAAACGGUGAAAAUCUUGUGUAAUUCGGUAUGAAGGGCGUAUGUUUGCAUUUACAUAGUUUUAGUUAUAUGUUAACAACUUUUCCAUUCUCAUCGCUAAUUAUGGUUAACUUUUAAC